AACGAACGCUGGCGGCAUGCCUAACACAUGCAAGUCGAACGAGACCUUCGUGUCUAGUUGCGCACGGGUGCGUAACGCGUGGGAACCUUCCCUUAGGUUCGGAAUAACUCCCCGAAAGGGGUGCUAAUACCGGAUAAUGUCUUCGGAUCAAAGAUUUAUCGACUUUGGAUGGGCCCGCGUUGGUUUAGCUAGUUGGUAGGGUAAAAGCCUACCACGGCGACGAUCCAUAGCUGGUCUGAGAGGAUGAUCAGCCACACUGGGACUGAGAAACGGCCCAGACUCCUACGGGAGGCAGCAGUGGGGAAUAUUGGACAAUGGGCGAAAGCAUGAUGCAGCAAUGCCGCGUGAGUGAUGAAGGCCUUAGGGUUGUAAAGCUCUUUUACCCGGGAUGAUAAUGACAGUACCGGGAGAAUAAGCACCGGCUAACUCCGUG
RNAcentral lists this ribosomal RNA (433 nucleotides) under uncultured bacterium. Its description in RNAcentral is "partial 16S ribosomal RNA". It matches the Rfam family "Bacterial small subunit ribosomal RNA", at positions 29 to 507 of the family's 1533-position model. The record is from RNAcentral.